CCUACGGGGGGCAGCAGUGGGGAAUAUUGGACAAUGGGGGGAACCCUGAUCCAGCCAUGCCGCGUGUGUGAAGAAGGCCCUCGGGUUGUAAAGCACUUUCAGUGAGGAAGAACGCCUGGGGGUUAAUACCAACCAGGAAAGACAUCACUCACAGAAGAAGCACCGGCUAACUCCGUGCCAGCAGCCGCGGUAAUACGGAGGGUGCGAGCGUUAAUCGGAAUUACUGGGCGUAAAGCGCGCGUAGGUGGCUUGAUAAGCCGGUUGUGAAAGCCCCGGGCUCAACCUGGGAACGGCAUCCGGAACUGUCAAGCUAGAGUGCAGGAGAGGAAGGUAGAAUUCCCGGUGUAGCGGUGAAAUGCGUAGAGAUCGGGAGGAAUACCAGUGGCGAAGGCGGCCUUCUGGACUGACACUGACACUGAGGUGCGAAAGCGUGGGUAGCAAACAGGAUUAGAUACCCCAGUAGUC
This 465-nucleotide ribosomal RNA is filed under the name Vreelandella stevensii. RNAcentral's name for it is "partial 16S ribosomal RNA". It matches the Rfam family "Bacterial small subunit ribosomal RNA", at positions 338 to 795 of the family's 1533-position model. Lineage: Bacteria; Pseudomonadati; Pseudomonadota; Gammaproteobacteria; Oceanospirillales; Halomonadaceae. The record is from RNAcentral.